GAUGAACGCUGGCGGCGUGCCUAAUACAUGCAAGUCGAGCGAACAGAUGAGAAGCUUGCUUCUCUGAUGUUAGCGGCGGACGGGUGAGUAACACGUGGGUAACCUACCUAUAAGACUGGGAUAACUCCGGGAAACCGGGGCUAAUACCGGAUAAUAUUUUGAACCGCAUGGUUCAAUAGUGAAAGACGGCUUCGGCUGUCACUUAUAGAUGGACCCGCGCCGUAUUAGCUAGUUGGUAAGGUAACGGCUUACCAAGGCGACGAUACGUAGACGACCUGAGAGGGUGAUCGGCCAAACUGGAACUGAGACACGGUCCAGACUCCUACGGGAGGCAGCAGUAGGGAAUCUUCCGCAAUGGGCGAAAGCCUGACGGAGCAACGCCGCGUGAGUGAUGAAGGUCUUCGGAUCGUAAAACUCUGUUGUUAGGGAAGAACAAAUUUGUUAGUAACUGAACAAGUCUUGACGGUACCUAACCAGAAAGCCACGGCUAACUACGUGCCAGCCGCCGCGGUAA
Molecule: ribosomal RNA, 514 nt
Filed under: uncultured bacterium
Lineage: Bacteria
Description: partial 16S ribosomal RNA
Rfam family: Bacterial small subunit ribosomal RNA
Source: RNAcentral